This is a non-coding RNA of Erpetoichthys calabaricus (reedfish), 521 nucleotides long. The record is from the annotation of a RefSeq genome assembly. NCBI's taxonomy places the organism in Eukaryota, Metazoa, Chordata, Cladistia, Polypteriformes, Polypteridae.
GCAGUGAAAAGCAACUUUAAAACGAGUUCAGGAGAAACUGUACUCCAGUUGGAGAAAAAAUGCAUCAGAGAAUUGUUGUCUUGACCCUACUUGCGUCUUUAGGAUAUGGUAGUAAAGAACGUGUUUGGAAUCCUGAGGGUACAGUGCAGGUUUUCCAAAAACAACUGGCUGAAAUCAAGUGCAACUUUGAAACAACGGAUACUGCUCCUUUUCUCUUCUGGUACAUUCAGCCACUCAAUGGCUUUCCUCGGCAUUUACUAACCAGGACACCUACCUACAAAAUCAAUGCGGAAGGUUUCGAAGAAAGAUUUAAAUCGACACUGAAUCUUGAAGACAAAACAGUUCAUCUGAAAAUUGCGCCUUCCAGGCUCUCCGACUCUGCGAUUUAUUUCUGCGCAUUGCGGCCCACAGUAAGGAUAAUGAAACUGAGAGCAUUACACAAACUCUUGUCGCAGAAAUACUGCUUUAAAAAUAACAAUUUAUACGCGCAUAUGCUGUCUUAUGCUGAAUUUACAUCUUAA